This 73-nucleotide transfer RNA is filed under the name bacterium. RNAcentral describes it as "tRNA-Asn". It matches the Rfam family "tRNA". Rfam says of the family: Transfer RNA (tRNA) molecules are approximately 80 nucleotides in length. Their secondary structure includes four short double-helical elements and three loops (D, anti-codon, and T loops). The record is from RNAcentral.
UCCCCUGUAGCUCAAUUGGUAGAGCAAGAUCCUGUUAAGAUCGAGGUUACUGGUCCGAGUCCAGUCGGGGGAG